Molecule: ribosomal RNA, 466 nt
Filed under: uncultured bacterium
Lineage: Bacteria
Description: partial 16S ribosomal RNA
Rfam family: Bacterial small subunit ribosomal RNA
Source: RNAcentral
GAUGAACGCUGGCGGCGUGCUUAACACAUGCAAGUCGAACGAUGAAGCCCAGCUUGCUGGGUGGAUUAGUGGCGAACGGGUGAGUAACACGUGAGUAACCUGCCCUUAACUCUGGGAUAAGCCUGGGAAACUGGGUCUAAUACCGGAUAGGAGCGUCCACCGCAUGGUGGGUGUUGGAAAGAUUUAUCGGGUUUGGAUGGACUCGCGGCCUAUCAGCUUUUUGGUGUGGUAAUGGCUAACCAAAGCGACAACGCUUAGCCGGCUUGAGAGGGUUACCGGCCACACAGGGAUUCAUACGCGACCGCGACUACUCAGGGAGUCUGUGGUGGGGAAUAUUGUGCUAUGGAUGCAAGCCUUAUGCAGCGACGCCGCGUGGUGGAUGACGGCCUUCGGGUUGUAAACCUCUUUCAGUAGGGAAGAAGCGAAAGUGAUGGUUCCUGUAGAAGACACACCGGCGGACAACGUG